AGCCACCUUCGGGUGGUGGACAGUGGCAGACGGGUGAGUAACGCGUGGGAACGUGCCUUUCGGUUCGGGAUAACCCAGGGAAACUUGGGCUAAUACCGGAUACGCCCUUCGGGGGAAAGAUUCAUUGCCGAAAGAUCGGCCCGCGUCGGAUUAGCUUGUUGGUGGGGUAAUGGCCUACCAAGGCGGCGAUCCGUAGCUGGUCUGAGAGGAUGACCAGCCACACUGGGACUGAAACACGGUCCAUACACCUACGGGUGGCAGCAGUAGGGAAUAUUGCUCAAUGGGCGAAAGCCUGAAGCAGCAACGCCGCGUGUGCGAUGAAGGCCUUCGGG
This 332-nucleotide ribosomal RNA is filed under the name uncultured bacterium. RNAcentral describes it as "bacterial SSU rRNA". It matches the Rfam family "Bacterial small subunit ribosomal RNA", at positions 72 to 422 of the family's 1533-position model. The record is from RNAcentral.